AGCGAACGCUGGCGGCGUGCUUAACACAUGCAAGUCGAGUGCGUAGCCCUUUGUAGCAAUACAGAGGGUGGGCGCACGGCGCACGGGUGAGUAACACGUGGGUAACCUGCCCUUCGGUGGGGAAUAACCCCGCGAAAGCGGGGCUAAUUCCGCAUAACAUUCCGGGGACACAUGUUCUCGGACUCAAAGGAGUGAUUCGCCGGAGGAGGGGCCCGCGCCCGAUUAGCUUGUUGGUAGGGUAACGGCCACCAAGGCUUUGAUCGGUAGCCGGUCUGAGAGGAUGGCCGGCCACACUGGAACUGAGACACGGUCCAGACUCCUACGGGAGGCAGCAGUGGGGAAUCUUGCGCAAUGGGCGAAAGCCUGACGCAGCGACGCCGC
Molecule: ribosomal RNA, 381 nt
Filed under: uncultured bacterium
Lineage: Bacteria
Description: bacterial SSU rRNA
Rfam family: Bacterial small subunit ribosomal RNA
Source: RNAcentral